RNAcentral lists this ribosomal RNA (428 nucleotides) under uncultured prokaryote. RNAcentral describes it as "bacterial SSU rRNA". It matches the Rfam family "Bacterial small subunit ribosomal RNA", at positions 355 to 774 of the family's 1533-position model. The record is from RNAcentral.
UGAGGAAUUUUGCGCAAUGGGGGAAACCCUGACGCAGCAACGCCGCGUGAGUGAUGAAGGCCUUCGGGUCGUAAAGCUCUGUCAAGUGGGAAGAACCUGUCCUGCGAUAAUACCGCAGGGCACUGACGGUACCACUGAAGGAAGCACCGGCUAACUCCGUGCCAGCAGCCGUGGUAAUACGGGGGGUGCUAGCGUUAUUCGGAAUCAUUGGGCGUAAAGGGCGCGUAGGCGGUCUCCUAAGUCAGAUGUGAAAGCCCUCGGCUUAACCGAGGAAGUGCAUUUGAUACUAGGUGACUUGAGUAUGGGAGAGGGAAGCGGAAUUCCUGGUGUAGCGGUGAAAUGCGUAGAUAUCAGGAGGAACACCGGUGGCGAAGGCGGCUUCCUGGACCAAUACUGACGCUGAGGCGCGAAGGCGUGGGGAGCAAACA